RNAcentral lists this long non-coding RNA (438 nucleotides) under Gallus gallus (chicken). Lineage: Eukaryota; Metazoa; Chordata; Aves; Galliformes; Phasianidae. The record is from RNAcentral.
CACCCUGACGGGGACGAUGUGGCUGGGGCUGGGCAGGGCGGGCAGCCCCCGAUCCCGCAAUAGGACGCGCAGAUGUUUGGCGUGCCGUUGGUGGGCCCUCCUUAGGGCCGCCCCCUCGGCGCUCCCCACCACUUGUAGGGCCGCCAGCGCCCCCGCCGCCACGCUGGGGGGCAGAGCCGUGGUGAAGAUGAAGCCCGGCCCCAAAGAUCGCACGGCGUCCACCAGAGCUUCGCUCCCCGCGAUGUAACCCCCCACGGCCCCCAAUGCUUUACCCAGCGUGCCGGACACCACAUCCACUUUGUGCUGCACCCCAUCCCGCUCGGCGAUCCCUGCGCCCCGCGCCCCAUAGAGCCCCACGGCGUGAACCUCAUCCACGAACGUCAGCGCCCCAUAAGCGUGAGCCACGUCACACAGCUCCUCCAGGGGGGCGAUGGAGCC